This 75-nucleotide ribosomal RNA is filed under the name uncultured bacterium. RNAcentral describes it as "partial 16S ribosomal RNA". The record is from RNAcentral.
AGUCGGAAGCCGGGGUGUACCUGAAGGUGAUAACCGUAAGGAGUCUACUACAAGGUAAAACCGGUAACUGGGGCU